Molecule: non-coding RNA, 507 nt
Organism: Delphinapterus leucas (beluga whale)
Lineage: Eukaryota; Metazoa; Chordata; Mammalia; Artiodactyla; Monodontidae
Source: RefSeq, a predicted model, not a curated record
AAAGACAAAGGAAACCAGUGCUUCUUCAUCUGGGUACCCUCUUCUUGGAGAGUAAGGAAGAAGGUGGUAGAGAAAAUACACUAAUGAGAACAGUUCCCUGCUCCAGGCACCGGAUGGUAUCAUUGGCCCAGAGCAACCAAAAUUGAAGAGAAUCUGCUUGGGGGAAACUCUUGCGAUUGUUGUGCUGGUGCUCAAGAGAGAAUAUACAAACAGCCCAUACAACUCAACAACAAAAAAACAAACAAUGCAAUCCAAAAAUGGACAGAAGACCUAAAUAGACAUUUCUCCAAAGAAGACAUAGAGAUGGCCAACAGAUAGAGGCUCCCUCACGCCCCCCCUCCUGUUUCCUGCUCAGGAUCCCACCCCCAAAGGUCGACAACACUGAUAUCCUUUCGGGAGGUUGUUAGAAAUGCUUACUCAGCCCUCACUUAAGAAUUGCUGAAUCAGAAUCUGCAUUUUACAAGAUCUCCAGGUAUAUACUCAGAAGUGGAAUUUCUGGAUCAUAUA